Molecule: ribosomal RNA, 497 nt
Filed under: uncultured bacterium
Lineage: Bacteria
Description: partial 16S ribosomal RNA
Rfam family: Bacterial small subunit ribosomal RNA
Source: RNAcentral
GAUGAACGCUGGCGGCGUGCCUAAUACAUGCAAGUCGAGCGAACGUACGAGCAGCUUGCUUCUCUGAUGUUAGCGGCGGACGGGUUAGUAACCCGUGGAUAACCUACCUAUCAGCCUGGGAUAACUUCGGGAAACCGUAGCUAAUACCGGAUAAUAUUUUGAACCGCAUGGUUCAAAAGUGAAAGACGGUCUUGCUGUCACUUAUAGAUGGAUCCGCGCUGCAUUAGCUAGUUGGUAAGGUAACGGCUUACCAAGGCAACGAUGCAUAGCCGACCUGAGAGGGUGAUCGGCCACACUGGAACGGAGACACGGUCCAGACUCCUACGGGAGGCAGCAGUAGGGAAUCUUCCGCAAUGGGCGAAAGCCUGACGGAGCAACGCCGCGUGAGUGAUGAAGAUCUUCGGAUCGUAAAACUCUGUUAUUAGGGAAGAACAUAUGUGUAAGUAACUGUGCACAUCUUGACGGUACCUAAUCAGAAAGCCACGGCUAACUACGUG